CGGUGAAAUGCGUAGAGAUCGGGAAGAACAUCGGUGGCGAAAGCGCUCUACUGGACGGCAACUGACACUCAGGGACGAAAGCUAGGGGAGCGAAUGGGAUUAGAUACCCCAGUAGUCCUAGCUGUAAACGAUGGAUACUAGGUGUAGCUUGUAUCGACCCGAGCUGUGCCGAAGCUAACGCGUUAAGUAUCCCGCCUGGGGAGUACGCACGCAAGUGUGAAACUCAAAGGAAUUGACGGGGGCCCGCACAAGCGGUGGAGUAUGUGGUUUAAUUCGAUGCAACGCGAAGAACCUUACCAGGGCUUGACAUGUCCGGAAUCCCGGUGAAAGCUGGGAGUGCCUUCGGGAGCCGGAACACAGGUGGUGCAUGGCUGUCGUCGGCUCGUGUCGUGAGAUGUUGGGUUAAGUCCCGCAACGAGCGCAACCCUCGUCUUUAGUUGCCAGCAUUAAGUUGGGCACUCUAGAGAGACUGCCGGUGACAAACCGGAGGAAGGUGGGGAUGACGUCAAGUCAGCAUGCCCCUUACGCUCUGGGCGACACACGUACUACAAUGGUCGGGACAGAGGGCAGCGAACCUGCGAAGGCAAGCUAAUCCCAGCAAACUCGGCCUCAGUUCAGAUCGCAGGCUGCAACUCGCCUGCGUGAAGGAGGAAUCGCUAGUAAUCGCCGGUCAGAAUACGGCGGUGAAUCCGUUCCCGGGCCUUGUACACACCGCCCGUCACACCAUGGAAGCUGGCCACGCCCGAAGUCGUUACCCUAACCUUUCGGGGAAGGGGACGCCGAAGGCAGGGUUGGUGACUGGGGUGAAGUCGUAACAAGGUAACC
RNAcentral lists this ribosomal RNA (825 nucleotides) under uncultured organism. RNAcentral's name for it is "bacterial SSU rRNA". It matches the Rfam family "Bacterial small subunit ribosomal RNA", at positions 679 to 1501 of the family's 1533-position model. The record is from RNAcentral.